AGCGAACGCUGGCGGCAGGCUUAACACAUGCAAGUCGAGCGGGCACUUCGGUGUCGGCGGCAGACGGGUGAGUAACACGUGGGAACGUACCCUUUGGUUCGGAAUAACGCUGGGAAACUAGCGCUAAUACCGGAUACGCCCUUUUGGGGAAAGGCUUGCUGCCGAAGGAUCGGCCCGCGUCUGAUUAGCUAGUUGGUGGGGUAAUGGCCUACCAAGGCGACGAUCAGUAGCUGGUCUGAGAGGAUGAUCAGCCACACUGGGACUGAGACACGGCCCAGACUCCUACGGGAGGCAGCAGUGGGGAAUAUUGGACAAUGGGCGCAAGCCUGAUCCAGCCAUGCCGCGUGAGUGAUGAAGGCCUUAGGGUUGUAAAGCUCUUUUGUCCGGGACGAUAAUGACGGUACCGGAAGAAUAAGCCCCGGCUAACUUCGUG
RNAcentral lists this ribosomal RNA (433 nucleotides) under uncultured bacterium. RNAcentral's name for it is "partial 16S ribosomal RNA". It matches the Rfam family "Bacterial small subunit ribosomal RNA", at positions 29 to 507 of the family's 1533-position model. The record is from RNAcentral.